This 1021-nucleotide long non-coding RNA is filed under the name Homo sapiens (human). RNAcentral describes it as "LNC_000485". The record is from RNAcentral. Lineage: Eukaryota; Metazoa; Chordata; Mammalia; Primates; Hominidae.
CGGGAUUUCACCAUGUUGGCCAGGCUGGUCUCAAGCUCCUGACCUCAUGAUCUGCACACCUCAGCCACCCAAAGUGCUGGAAUUACAAGUGUGAGCCACCACGCCCAGCCUGAAACUGAUGUAUAAAGGCUUCCUGGGAGUGAAAUGGUUCUUUCAGAAUGGCUUUUGGAUGAUACAUAUAUCUCUGAUGACAUAGAGAAACAUGCACUGCCUCAGUUGGGAUUAGAGGAUCUGAGCAGUGGCUGGCCACUCCAAUCACCAUGCUGUGCUGCCUUCUUCCAAGCCCCAUCUCACCAGAUCAUAUGGUCACAGCAGAAGGUUUGGGCAAUUGUGAAUAUCACUGCUGUAAACAUUCAUGCACAGGUUUUUAUGUGAACAUAAGUUUUCAUUUCUCUGUGGAAGACAAAUAGGAACAGGAUUCCUAGUUCAUAUGAAAGGCAAACCACAAAAGACAAAAAGAGAAAGAAGGACCUCCAGAGUGGGAGAAUAACUCCUCGCCUGUCAGAACUUAAACGGAGUUCAUCUCAUCAAAUAAUGUUUCCUGAAUCGCUGAGAUCUUUCACAUGAAGAGUGGGUCGCUGUGAUGAGAAAAGAUGUUUAAAGGAGUCGUGGAGGAAAUCAGCUGUCAUUUCAUGGGUUGUAUUUUAAGAUCAAAGCUGAGCACCAUGAGAACACCAUUGUACCAGCUUGUUUGUCCAAAAGACAACAGAACUUCAAAGCCAUGAGGUGCCUGCCUUUCUUCCAAUCAAGUGGACUCUACUAGUCAUCCGUAGAGAUGCACAAGCUUGGAGCAUUUCCUUGUAUUUAAGCUGAGGAAAGGGAGAAUAUCCCCAGCCCCAUUUCAAGCUGUCAUCAUGAACAGUAGUGGAGGAGUGGAUUUGCCAAACAGCUGUCAGAGCUGACACCAGGCAGUGUCAGCAGUGGGGCUGGAGCUAACCCUUGGUGGAGCGACUUUCCUCUUGCUCAAUUCCUGGGUUCCCUCCUACUGUUCUGAACCAAUGACGCAGAUGGCAAGUGAAAC